Molecule: ribosomal RNA, 253 nt
Filed under: uncultured bacterium
Lineage: Bacteria
Description: partial 16S ribosomal RNA
Rfam family: Bacterial small subunit ribosomal RNA
Source: RNAcentral
UACAGAGGUCUCAAGCGUUGUUCGGAUUCAUUGGGCGUAAAGGGUGCGUAGGUGGCGAGGCAAGUCUGGUGUGAAAUCCCGGGGCUCAACCCCGGAACUGCACUGGAUACUGCCUUGCUUGAGCACUGGAGAGGGAACUGGAAUUUACGGUGUAGCAGUGAAAUGCGUAGAUAUCGUAAGGAAGGCCAGUGGCGAAGGCGAGUUCCUGGACAGUUGCUGACACUGAGGCACGAAGGCUAGGGGAGCAAACGGG